UGGGGAAUAUUGGACAAUGGGCGAAAGCCUGAUCCAGCCAUGCCGCGUGUGUGAAGAAGGUCUUCGGAUUGUAAAGCACUUUAAGUUGGGAGGAAGGGUUGUAACCUAAUACGUUGCAAUCUUGACGUUACCGACAGAAUAAGCACCGGCUAACUCUGUGCAAGCAGCCGCGGUAAUACAGAGGGUGCAAGCGUUAAUCGGAAUUACUGGGCGUAAAGCGCGCGUAGGUGGUUCGUUAAGUUGGAUGUGAAAUCCCCGGGCUCAACCUGGGAACUGCAUUCAAAACUGACGAGCUAGAGUAUGGUAGAGGGUGGUGGAAUUUCCUGUGUAGCGGUGAAAUGCGUAGAUAUAGGAAGGAACACCAGUGGCGAAGGCGACCACCUGGACUGAUACUGACACUGAGGUGCGAAAGCGUGGGGAGCAAACA
This 427-nucleotide ribosomal RNA is filed under the name uncultured Pseudomonas sp. RNAcentral describes it as "bacterial SSU rRNA". It matches the Rfam family "Bacterial small subunit ribosomal RNA", at positions 355 to 774 of the family's 1533-position model. The record is from RNAcentral. Lineage: Bacteria; Pseudomonadati; Pseudomonadota; Gammaproteobacteria; Pseudomonadales; Pseudomonadaceae.